GAGUUUGAUCUUGGCUCAGAUUGAACGCUGGCGGCAUGCUUUACACAUGCAAGUCGAACGGUAACGCGGGGGCAACCCUGGCGACGAGUGGCGAACGGGUGAGUAAUACAUCGGAACGUGUCCUGGAGUGGGGGAUAGCUCGGCGAAAGCCGGAUUAAUACCGCAUACGCUCUGAGGAGGAAAGCGGGGGACCUUCGGGCCUCGCGCUGCGGGAGCGGCCGAUGUCGGAUUAGCUAGUUGGUGGGGUAAAGGCCUACCAAGGCGACGAUCCGUAGCUGGUCUGAGAGGAUGAUCAGCCACACUGGGACUGAGACACGGCCCAGACUCCUACGGGAGGCAGCGGUGGGGAAUUUUGGACAAUGGGGGCAACCCUGAUCCAGCCAUGCCGCGUGAGUGAAGAAGGCCUUCGGUUGUAAG
Molecule: ribosomal RNA, 417 nt
Filed under: uncultured beta proteobacterium
Lineage: Bacteria; Pseudomonadati; Pseudomonadota; Betaproteobacteria
Description: bacterial SSU rRNA
Rfam family: Bacterial small subunit ribosomal RNA
Source: RNAcentral